Molecule: transfer RNA, 73 nt
Filed under: Ailuropoda melanoleuca (giant panda)
Lineage: Eukaryota; Metazoa; Chordata; Mammalia; Carnivora; Ursidae
Rfam family: tRNA
About the family: Transfer RNA (tRNA) molecules are approximately 80 nucleotides in length. Their secondary structure includes four short double-helical elements and three loops (D, anti-codon, and T loops).
Source: Rfam by way of RNAcentral
ACCUGGCUGGCUCAGUCGGAAGGGCAUGUGACUCUUGAUCUCCGGGUCAUGAGUUCAAGCCCCAUGGUGGGUG